AAGAUCAAAUAAAACCAAACAGAAUUAAUUGUACAGGAAGAUCACAAAUCUAUUUUCUCCGAAUGAUGUAUGCGAAUCGCGUUCAAGUUACCCAAUUGAGUGAUUACAUUAUAUGAGAAGUACAUUAAUCUUCUUCAAUCCAAUAUAUUAAAAAUGCAGAAUGAACUUUGAUACGACAUUAAUCAUCUGCUGAGCAACCACGAUAAGGUGAAUGGAGAAAACUCUUAUCUCAAUCCAUUGCGUGCAAACAUUUGCAUAGGGGUAUAAAUUUUGAUGAAAACUCGUGGAAACUUUUCUCAUAUAAAGACGAUCGUCUUCAUCUCUCAUCACGCGUAUUGAUAAUUCGACUGUGUCUAUCGAGAAGAAAGUUGGAAGCAUUCAUCUGUGCAUCAUGAAGUACCUCGCAGUUUUGAUGCUCCUUGCGAUGCUGAUUGCUGCUGUUGCUGGACAAGGCUGCGCAGCCACUGGGCGCCCGUGCGUAAGUAAACCUGAUUGUUGUGGGAUCCUACAGUGUCGUGCAGGGCGAUGUGCUGUGUAAAGGCGCAUUCAAACGGAAGAGGCACGAGUCUUUGCUCCAGAAUAAGACGACGAAUAUGAAUUUUGUAUGUAGCGAGUUCAACAUAUUAGAAGACCAUGUUCUGGGCACCUUCUGUUUUGUUAACGGCCCAAAAAUAGCAUGCCUCAAGCAUUUUUCAUGAGAAAUCUUUUAAAACGUUAUUAUAAUCUAUAAUUGUUCUGUACCCAUUUUUAAUGAAUAUUAAAUUUGGAAAAUAUAAUAUAAUAAUUUUAUUCAGCA
This is a long non-coding RNA of Diachasma alloeum, 796 nucleotides long. RefSeq lists it as uncharacterized. NCBI's taxonomy places the organism in Eukaryota, Metazoa, Arthropoda, Insecta, Hymenoptera, Braconidae. The record is from RefSeq and is a predicted model, not a curated record. The transcript has 3 exons.